AUAUGAAAUUAUAACAUUAAUUCCCACCUAUGUUAAUUUUGCCAUUGACUUAUGAACUAAUUUUCAAAUUUAUUUUGAAAUUAAUCAUACCUUCUAGUUCAAGGACCUUCAUGGAUUCUGAAUGUAAAAGAAUCCCAAUGAUUUUAUCUCUUCAGAAAACAUAAAUAUAAAUUGUAUUCAAAUAUGCAUAUUACACAAAGAUGCAUUACACAUAUUGCAAGAGACAUUCACACAUAUUUUUGGUUGGUGAUUUAGCCUGAAUUUGCUAACAAUGGCAUGGUGUCUACUUUGAUUUUGUUUAGCUGGAAUAAUCAAGUAUUAGUCCAUUCUUUCACUGCUAUUAAAUACCUGAGACUGGGUAGUUUAUAGGGAAAAGAAGAUUAAUUGGCUGAAGGUUCUGCAGACUGUAUGAGAAGCAUAGUGGCUUCUGAGAAAACCUCAGGAAAGUUAGAAUCAUGGUGGUGUAGGAGGACUAGCCACAGACAAAACCACUCAGACACCGGGUUAAGAAGGAAGUGGCUUUAUUUGGCCAGGAGCAUCAGCAGACUUGCAUGUCAAGAACUGAGCUCUCUGAAGAAAGAGUUCCUGGCCCUUUUAAGAACUUACAACUCUAAGGGGUUCACGUGAAAGGGUUGUGAUAGAUUGACAUUCAGAGAUAGCAUAUGUGAUUAGAGGGGGGCUAAUCUUUAACCUCUCUCUUCAUUCCCCCAUUUGAGAACCUUACUCACUAGUGGGAGGUCUCACUCUCAUCUUCACUACCCAGGUCUUUCUGCAAGACAGAUCGACAGUGAUUCAUGUAAUACACUUGUGUAUUACAAGACAUUCAUGUAAUACAUUUGUGCUGAAGUUUUCUGAUGAACCAAGGUAGUAACAAAACUUCUUAGAAGUUGGAGAAAUAUGGGUAACAAACAAAGGAGCAAUAGGAGGGUUGCAGCUGGAGAUCUGGGGAGGAGCUGGUGUUUUUUAGUUUGAGGGUCAUGCAGCUAUAGACCCUGGGAGGAGCAGGAGUUUCUUUAGUUUGAGGGUUGGGCAGCUGCAGAACCCGGGAGAAUCUGAUGUUCUGGUUUGAGGGUCCUGCAGCUGGAGACCCAGAGAGCAGCUGGUGUUUCUUUAGUUUGAUGGCCGUGCAGCUGUAGAACCCAGGGGGAGCUGGUAUUUUUCUAGUAUGAGUGUCCUGCAGCUGGAGACCUGGAGAAGAGCUGAUGUUCUAGUUUGAGGGUCGUGCCGCUGAAGACUCAGGGAGAAGCUGAUGUUCUCGUUUGAGGAUACUGCAGCUGGAGACCUGGAGAGGAGCUGAUGUUAUUCUAGUUUGAGGAUCAUGGAGCUUGAGAUCCACAGAGGAGCAGGUAUUGUUCUAGAUUGAGGUUCAUGUAGCUGAAGACCUGGGGAGCAGCGGGUGUUUUUUAGUUUGAGGGUCAUGCAGCUGUAGAACCCGGGAGGAGCUGGUGUUUUUCUAGUAUGAGUGUCCUGCAGCUGGAGACCUGGAGAGGAGCUGAUGUUGUUCUAGUUUGAGGGUUGUGCAGCUGAAGACUUGGAGGGGAGCUGAUGUUGUUCUUGUUGAGGGUCUUUCAGCUGGAGACCCAGAGAGGAGCUGAUGUGGUUCUAGUUUAAGGGUCAUGGAGCUGGAGACCCAGAGAGGAGCUGGUGUUGUUCUGAUUUGAGGUUCAUGCAGCUGGAGACAUGGAGAGGAGCGGGUGUUUCUUUAGUUUGAGAUUCAUGCAGCUGUAGAACCGGGGAAGAGCUGGCGUUUUUCUAGUAUGAGUGUCCUACAGCUGGAGACCAGGAGAGGAGCUGAUGUUCUAGUUUGAGAGCCAUGCGACUGGAGAUGCAAAGAGGAGCUGAUUUGGUUCUAGUUUGAGGGUCAUGGAGCUGGAGACCCAGAGAGGAGCUGGUGUUUCUUUAGUUUGAGGGUCAUACAGCUGUAGAACCCAUGAGGAGCUUGCAUUUUUCUAGUGUGAGUGUCCUGCAGCUGAAGACCUGGAGAAGAGCUGAUGCUUUCAAUUGAGGGUUGUGCAGCUUAAGACUCAGGGAGGAGCUGAUGUUCUAGUUUGAGGGCCAUGAGCUUAAGACCCGGGGAUGAGCUGAUGUUGUUCUGGUUUGAGGUUCAUGCACCUGGAGACCUGAGGAGGAGCGGUUGUUUUUUAGUUUGAGGGUCGUGCAACAGUAGAACCUGGGAGGAGCUUGUGUUUUUCUAGUAUGAGUGUCCAGCAGCUAGAGACCCAGAGAGGAGCCGAUGUUCUAGGUUGAGGGUGGUGCAGCUGAAGACUCGGGAAGGAGCUAAUGUUCUAGUUUGAGGGCCGUGAUCUGGGGACUUGGAGAGGAGCUGAUGUUGUUCUAGUUUGAGGGUCGUGCAGCUGAAGACGGGGGAGGGUUCUAGUUUGAGUGCCCUGCAGCUGAAGACUCGGGAAGGAGCUGAUGUUGUCCUUGUUUUACGAUCUUUCAGCUGGAGACUCAAAGAGGAGCUGAUGUUGUUCUAAUUUGAGUGUAAUGGAGCUGGAGACCCGGGGUGGAGCUGAUGUUGUUCUAGUUUGAGUGUUGUGCAGCUGGAGAUCCAAGAAGGAGGUGGUCUUGUGGUUCAAAUCUGAGGGUCCUGGAGCUGGAAUCUAUGGGAGGAGUCAAUGCUGCCACUGAUGUCUUAGAUUGUGCAGCAGAAGACCCACAGAGGAGCCGGUGUUGGUGUUCUAGUGUGAGGGUGUGGAUCUGGAGAUCCAUGGGGGAGUGACGUUCUUCUAGUUUUUGGGUUGUGGUGUUGGUGUUCUAGUGUGAGGGUCAUGGAUCUGGAGAUCCAUGGGGGAGUGGUGUUCUUCUAGUUUGUGGGUUGUGGUGCUGGAGACCCAGGGAGGAGCUGAUUCUUUUGUUGUUUAAGUCUGAAGGUCGUCAAGCUGGAGAUCCGGGGAAGAGCUGGUGCUGCGAUUCAAGUCUGAGGGUCCUGGAGCUUGAGACCCCAGGAGGAGAUGGUGCUGCCACUAAUGUCUUAGAUUGUAAAGCUGGAGAUCUGUGGAGGAGCUGGUGUUUCUGUUCUAGUGUAAGGUUUGUGGAUCUGGAGUCCCAGGGGUGAGCAGUGUUGUUUUAGUUUGAGGGUCAUGGAGUUAGAGACCCGGGGAGGAGCUGAUGUUGUAGUUUGAGGGUCGUGCAGCUGGAGACCCAGGGAGGAGCUGGUGUGUUUCUAGUUGGAGGGUUGUGGAGCUGGAGAUUCAC
RNAcentral lists this long non-coding RNA (3198 nucleotides) under Homo sapiens (human). RNAcentral's name for it is "HSALNT0050157". The record is from RNAcentral. Lineage: Eukaryota; Metazoa; Chordata; Mammalia; Primates; Hominidae.